Molecule: ribosomal RNA, 503 nt
Filed under: uncultured bacterium
Lineage: Bacteria
Description: bacterial SSU rRNA
Rfam family: Bacterial small subunit ribosomal RNA
Source: RNAcentral
AUUGAACGCUGGCGGCAUGCCUUACACAUGCAAGUCGAACGGCAGCACGGGAGCUUGCUCCUGGUGGCGAGUGGCGAACGGGUGAGUAAUACAUCGGAACGUACCCUGAAGUGGGGGAUAACGUAGCGAAAGUUACGCUAAUACCGCAUAUUCUGUGAGCAGGAAAGAGGGGGAUCGCAAGACCUCUUGCUUUAGGAGCGGCCGAUGUCGGAUUAGCUAGUUGGUGAGGUAAAGGCUCACCAAGGCGACGAUCCGUAGCGGGUCUGAGAGGAUGAUCCGCCACACUGGGACUGAGACACGGCCCAGACUCCUACGGGAAGCAGCAGUGGGGGAAUUUUGGACAAUGGGCGCAAGCCUGAUCCAGCCAUGCCGCGUGAGUGAAGAAGGCCUUCGGGUUGUAAGACUCUUUCGUGGGGAAGAAAUUAGCUUCGGCUAAUACCUGGAGUAGAUGACGGUACCCGCAUAAGAAGCACCGGCUAACUACGUGCCAGCAGCCGCGGUAA